GAACGGAGCACGGAAGACAGCUAAGCACCGAAGCAGGGGUUAGCCACUCCUCCCGCUGCUAACCCACUCUUGGGAUCGUAGGUGAGGGGUAGCAACAAGGAGAGAACGUCGGACGGAGUGAUGACGACGAGAGCGGCGGCUCGAGCGGGCGACGGCGACGGCGGCGUAGUAGAAGAGGAGGACCCUUGGGAUCUCGCAGAUGAGAGGACCGACAAGCAUAGAACCGAGCGGUGUUUUUUACCCGUGCCCACCCAUCCUGCUCCGGUACCGAUCCCAAAGUCCGACCCGUAGCGGAAGCAGCGGCCGCGCCGAGGCCACCUGAGGCCACCGAGGAGAGGCAGAGGAAAAGGCAGUGGUGCGCGCCGAGGCGAAGGGCGGCCGGUACCCCACGUCGGAAUGUCCCCGCGUAGCCCGACCCGUAGGAGAUAAAGACUCACGUACCCCGCCAAACUCCGCGUGAACACCUUGUUCUUGUGGACCUGUCUUGGCGUCUCCUUCUUCUACCGAACCAACUACGUUAGGCACAUAGGGAGUGUAUAGGUGAACCUUGAGUACGAGGUCUGGUAGUUUACUAUUGGUACGAGCCGUAGGUGUACUUGUUAAACAAAGUUACUGGUGGGUCCAUUAAGUCUACGAGGUAAACCAAGAACCUAUAAGAGGGACGACGAGUAAAGUGUUGAUGCAGUUAGACAACAAAAGUUUGUCAUUCCCUCUUUCGAUGACUAUGUCAUAUAUAACCUGUAACUUAACCACGAGGUACCUCGGUCCCGUGGUACUAAAUACGUGUUUAGGUUUGGUUUAAACUAAUAUCAAAAAAAACCUUUAAAAUCGAGACCCCAUAUUAUGGACUAAUAAUAUCUUAAGUUCAUGAGAUGUAGAUCCUAUAACGACACAUAUAGAUAAAGACGUAUGGUAUGACGAACAUAUAUUUUAGUUGUAUAUAGACGUCAGUUUGUUAGUAAUCUUUUUCAUUGACGUUAAACCGAAAUCAUGUUUAUAAAGUGUAUAUACACGGAAUCAAGAUACAUUACGAAACAACAAGAGAUUCCAUAGGAGGAUAGAAACUACCUUCAUCAUCGUAAAAAGACCGUCACGACGAACAAUUAGUUACAUUUAGGAUCUCUUAGUACAUUAAUUCCUAUCGGAAACAAUAACAUUAGCAUCUAACUAGGAUUAACCCUAGGACAUGUAGACCUACAUUAGAACUACUACUUCAUAGUAGUUCAUAUAUAAGUACCGUUCCGGGUUCCCCAUUUAGUGCUGUUGGUUAGUACAAAUUGAGACGAAAGAGAACGGAAGCCGCCGGGGUGCACACAGCACGAGCACCUGCACACACGCAGGACUAGCACCGGCCGAGAACGACGAUAAAAACGACACACAGCACAACGAUGACGACAACUAACGGCCGACAACGCGUACAGAACGAACACCGGCCGGGACCGACGAGUACAGGAUGUUAAAGACGAUAACAAUCAAAAACGAACGAAGCCAAAAAGAAAAACCUUUAAUACAUAUCUUAUACAGAAGACAACAUAUGUUGAAAUAAGAAAGUUUCUUUUAUUGAUUUGUCAUACACAAAGAUGGGAGUGGAAAAAAUAGACAAGUUUAGGAUAAAAUGAACCUUAAUAAACUUUAAGACCCAGUGAAAUAGACAACCACGUCGUCGAACGUAGAUGUUCUUAUCCAAUAGUUUCUUUGACUUAGACCUUCCAAUUCUGUAAUCUGUAGAUAACUGUCCAUGGUUGUACAGUAGAAACAGGCACACAUGGGCUGCAACUAGACUAAACUUCAACCAAAUAAGUUAAGAAAUCAUCACUACGUAUGUCUAUACUACCUUUAUGAGCUUUCAUCGUGAACAAAUACACUCCAAAUCACACAUUGGCGAGUUCAAAAUUAUAUACGUAGUGAUGAUAUCAGGAAACAAUAGGGUCGGAGCCGGCUAGCCCAGCGUCAACAAAGAAAGACAUACUGAUAACAAAGUUGUACACACACAACGUCGGUACUAGUUCUCGGCCGACGUGUACGUCGUCUCUGUAUCUUAAUAUAAAUGACGGACAUCAUCUGCGUAGGUUCAACCUGAACGCAUCUUCCUAACUCUGAUUAAAAUACAAGGGUACAUCAUCGCUAAGGAACCAUAAAUCUACUACGGUUAUAACAUAUAGUCAUUAGGUAGACCACAAAAGGGGAAUGUAAACACGUAAGAUGUUUCCACAAGUUAAAAAGUCGAAGUUAUUAAGAUAAAGAAAAACGAGUAAAACAAGGAUGCCCAGUACUUGAUAGGGGAAGAACGGUAGUUACGGGGCCCGUAACAAUCAUGUCUUCAUGGGCGAGGAUGGAAUAAGUGUAAAUUCAAAGUAGAAAAGGUAACUAAAUAAUCAUUUGAUAUAAAAGAUUAACUUGAUAUCGGACAGUUUUAUUAAUAUCGUUCCAGCACACAUGUAAACAUGGUUGUUCGCUUAGGUGAUAGUUUACGUAACACGUUAUUAUGUAUUUAUCCAUUUAUCUACGACUAAGCCUGUGAAUACUUUGAGUUUAGUGUUUAAAUCCUACUUACCUCGUUUGUAGUUACUGGCGUAUACCUAGUUACUGCUACUUCCACAAUUAAGGGCGGAGAUAAACAAUACUGACGAAUACCUAGCUUUAGACAACCUAAUCAUAUAUCGUGUGCAACAGUAAGGAACGAAUUAUCUGUGCGUGACGAGAAAAACAGUACCGACGAGACGUCAUUUACGUGCUACAAAGUGAAAUCGGACUCAGAAGACAAGCCAUUAACAACAAAGAGGGACUUUGUUUUGACUGUGACAUUAGGUUUGUAGGUCGACCCAUGACUGUUCUUCAUGGUUAAAUCCUCCUGUCACUCUCUCGAGUCUCCAUUAUUGUGUCAACUACUUGUAUAAACCACGGAAGACCACGUUUGUCACCUUCAGAAAAUCACUCGUAUAUAAGUACAGUUUGAAGAUACGAUGAAUGAGAAACUAGCGGACAAGGGGAAGAAGGAAUCAACAUCCCGAGCCGUACUUCUUGUGUAACCUCCUGGUAAAUGCUACGGAAGACCACGUUUAUCACCUUCAGAAAAUCAUUUAUAUAUAAGUACACUUUGACUUUAAAUCUGUUGUAAUCUACUUGUAAUAACAUGACUUAGAAGUGACAUAACAAUGAGACAUACUUGCAUAUACGAUUUGGUCCUAAUGAUG
Molecule: ribosomal RNA, 3194 nt
Filed under: Triticum aestivum (bread wheat)
Lineage: Eukaryota; Viridiplantae; Streptophyta; Magnoliopsida; Poales; Poaceae
Description: partial small subunit ribosomal RNA
Source: RNAcentral